RNAcentral lists this ribosomal RNA (2446 nucleotides) under Triticum aestivum (bread wheat). RNAcentral describes it as "partial small subunit ribosomal RNA". Lineage: Eukaryota; Viridiplantae; Streptophyta; Magnoliopsida; Poales; Poaceae. The record is from RNAcentral.
GAGGAGGGCGUGUCGGCGUGAGCGCGGCAGGGGAAGGAGAAGGAGGGCGGAGCGGAGAGAGAGGAAGGUUUGGGAUCCGGGCUCGGGCGGCGGCGACGAGACGGGCUCGGGCGGCGGCGACGAAGGAGGAAUGGGCGACCGCGGGCCGGAGGAGGGGAGUGCAGGAGGAGGAAGAUGGGGGAGGGCGGGGCCGGGGCCGAGGGCGCCCUCCCUUCGUCCUUACCGCUCCGCUCCGUUUCCGCCGCAUCCCCUGUGCCGCACCGCGUCCACCCAGCCGCGCCGGCGCCGAAGAGAAGAAUAGAGGGCCCUCACCCGGCGUCGGUACCUCUCGCCGGUCUCCUCGUUCCUGCCGGUUGGGGACGGUGGAUAGGUCGUGCACAACCCCUAACGCCCGUUGCUAACUUAGACGUCUGACCAAGCGAGUUCCUACUGCUCCUCUACCGGCCGAAGUCCCACGUCGUCUUCCUCCUCCCCGUGCGUCACGGCCGGCCCGACUACGCCUCCCCCGACGUUCGAGCUGCACUCUCGUCGCCGUCCCUGUUCGAGUCGUCCGAGAAGAUGACGCGGACGAUCUGGAGCUCCCUGAAUAGAUGAUACUAUGGUAUAUGUACGAAUACCUUCCGUGAGUUGUCGUAUAAGAUCUUUUUUUAUCUCCAAAUAAUAGGUCGUGGCAGUGACGGCAGGAAUUGUAUGUCUUCUUCAAGCAAGGUUCGAAGUUCUGAGAUCCCAGUUAAGGUAUCUUCCAUUAAAGGAAACUAUAACCAUAACAACUGUAAACCAAAAAGGCCGAAGACCAACGGCAAUAUGAAACAAAUAGUACGAAAACAAACAUAAAUUUAAACGGAUUUCUAUACAAGUUCAAGUAUGGACGUCAAGUUAUCGAUAACGGACUUUAGACGAAAGAUGGACACGAAAAAUUCAUAUAUACGGAUAUGUCACAGGAGAUAACGAAAGAAUUUAAGACCUCAGACGAUACAUUACUACCGUAGCCGUCUAAAACAACGUCCGUCAUGACUUUUCAUUUAUAUAACUUGUCUAGUUUAACGUUCUAAUCAAUCGAAAGGAGGAAUAAUGUAAAAGAGAAUGUAAAAGUUACGAAACAGAUGGUACGAAAGAGUACAGGGACCACGGAAAAAACAAACUAUACUUCAUUUAAACGUGUGACCUACCCCGCUGGUCCAACACCGUUGAACCGCCGUACCGAUUACUUAUUUCUUUUAUCGUUAUUGACUAACUAAAAUCUAGAGUACACGGACGUUUAGAAGACAAGAACGGCAAAUACACGACCUAGACAACAACGUAAGCAGCUAGACAACAACCAAGAAUUAAAUCAGACCAUUUCUCAUUCAACGUGAAACAGCCAGGUAAACCCAAUACCUAAAAAAAAUAAUACUACCGCUCUGUGUGGAUACCACUCUAAGAUAAAGCUACUACUACACGUGAGAAGUGUGGAGCGAAACUUAACCGUGCUCUUCUAGCAAGAUCUAACCUUAGGUAUAUUGAAACUCUUCCAGUUACAGACAACAGAAAGAGAGAGACUGACGGAGGAGGGUAACUGAACCGUACGACCAGUGGCGGCACAGAGGACGACCGAACGGGGAGCGGGAGCAGCCCUCCCAACACACCCGGCAGGAUGUAAAAUUAGGUGUAUUGAAACUUUUCCAGCGGUGGUACGGCUGAGAGAGAGAGAGAGAGAAAGAGAGAGAGAGAGAGGAGAGAGAGAGAGAGAGGAGAGAGAGAGAGAGAGAGAGAGAGAUUGUCGGGGAGGGCAACAGAACCAAACGACCAACGACAACACAGAGGGCGGCCAAGCGGGCAACGGUAGUGACCUUCCCAACACAUCAGGCGGCGAGUACGGUCAUGAGACAUCACUGGUCACUCCUGGUACCGUAGCUCUAUCGGGUUUUCCUUUGUGGCGGCCGAUAUCGUGGCCAACUCCGGUGGGACAGACAGUCGGGUGUUGUCAAAGAAGUAGACUGCUUCUUAAAUACCACCUACUAUAGUGAGACCCUCCUUAAUAGUCCGUGUGUUGGUCGCUCGCCACCGUCUUCGUUGAAGAGGGAACUUGAUGUACGGUCCGGUUGAAAUAAGAUUCUCCGAGGUUUUAGACUUCUUUCUACACCGAUACGUCCUACGGUUCGUAGCGUUCUGAUUCCACCGAUUGUGUUACCUCGACCUUGUAGCUGGAAAACAAAGCAUAGCGGGUUCGGUCGUACAAACGGGAAAACUACAAGAAGACUUGUCCUUUACAUAUUGCAAAUCUAAGGGCAACAGCAGAAACAUUACCUUCCAUCGUGGACCACCGUACAACGAUAAAAGUGAAACGAAACUUGUUCUGUAACUAUCUGAAAUCUAUAACUAAGAUAGAGAGAUAGCAUCUUUCAUUACAUACCAUAACACAAAAUAGAGAUAAGUUUACUUUCGUGGCUCGAACUAAGACAGAAUA